This 247-nucleotide ribosomal RNA is filed under the name uncultured bacterium. Its description in RNAcentral is "partial 16S ribosomal RNA". It matches the Rfam family "Bacterial small subunit ribosomal RNA", at positions 523 to 769 of the family's 1533-position model. The record is from RNAcentral.
AUACGUAGGGGGCGAGCGUUGUCCGGAAUUACUGGGCGUAAAGGGUGCGCAGGUGGCCUGACAAGUCAGAUGUGAAAUACCGAUGCUUAACGUCGGGGCUGCAUUUGAAACUAUGAGGCUGGAGUGCAGGAGAGGGAAGCGGAAUUCCUAGUGUAGCGGUGAAAUGCAUAGAUAUUAGGAGGAACACCAGUGGCGAAGGCGGCUUUCUGGACUGUAACUGACACUGAGGCACGAAAGCGUGGGGAGC